UUAAAUUGAAGAGUUUGAUCAUGGCUCAGAUUGAACGCUGGCGGCAGGCCUAACACAUGCAAGUCGAGCGGAAACGAGUUAUCAGAACCUUCGGGGGACAAUA
RNAcentral lists this ribosomal RNA (103 nucleotides) under Vibrio parahaemolyticus. RNAcentral describes it as "partial 16S ribosomal RNA". The record is from RNAcentral. Lineage: Bacteria; Pseudomonadati; Pseudomonadota; Gammaproteobacteria; Vibrionales; Vibrionaceae.